Molecule: long non-coding RNA, 723 nt
Filed under: Equus asinus (donkey)
Lineage: Eukaryota; Metazoa; Chordata; Mammalia; Perissodactyla; Equidae
Description: lncRNA (ENSEASG00005037922.1)
Source: RNAcentral
CUCCAUCCUUGGCAGCAGCAGAGCCCAGAUGUGCAGUUCCUGGAAGGAAUCGCUCCCACAGUGUCAUCUGGCUAUCACCUCCCCUCGCCUGGUUUCUCCAGCGGAUUCAAAAGUGGCGAUGCUGUGUAUCAUGCCAGUUUCACCUACGUUCACACCAUUCUUUUGUAAACGGGAGUACCUGGUUCACUUUACACGUUUCUAAACUGAGAAGGAAGAAAUCACAGCAUCCAGACUUCCAUUAGAGGGUCACUUCUCCCCUGCUGUGCGCGGUCUUGGUGACCCUAUAAAUCAAGGUGCCCCACCCUCUUCUUCUAAGGGCUGGGCACACGACUAAAUUCCAGCUGCUUUAGCUCCAUUCUCUCUCCCUCUCCUUCCCUCCUUCUCCUUCUUUUUCUCUCUCUUUCCUUCUUCUAAGACUUUGAGUCUUGAGAAAACGACGAAAGAACAAGGAAAACAGCUGGAAUGCAUGUUCACUGGCUGUGCCCUCCAAGACUGGGGAGAAGUUCCUGGUGCUUAAACCCUCAGGACACUGAGGCUGGGGAACACCACUUUAGCAGAGUGAGGUAAGAAAACUCAGUUGGAAUUCUAUUCCGUGACCCUUGCUACCAGUGAGAAGCAGGCCCAGGAUCUAGAGCAGGGGGAAAGAAUACCUCACCUUAAGAAAUUAUUGCAAGAAUUAAAAUAGAGUAAAAGGGGUGAACCAGCAACAGUUUAUCUUAUAAC